CCUGCCUAGAGGCUUUGCAGGUGAGCUGCUGUGUUACAAGUGCACAGUAGGUGGCAGAGAGGAAAGAUGCUAUGUCUACCUUCAGUGUUUUGCCCUGUGAACAUCUGAAUUCUUAGUAGCCUAACACU
Small nucleolar RNA from Arvicanthis niloticus (Nile rat), 128 nucleotides. RefSeq annotates it as small nucleolar RNA SNORA17. Lineage: Eukaryota; Metazoa; Chordata; Mammalia; Rodentia; Muridae. The record is from RefSeq and is a predicted model, not a curated record.